AUUGAACGCUGGCGGCAUGCCUUACACAUGCAAGUCGAACGGUAACGCGGGGGCAACCCUGGCGACGAGUGGCGAACGGGUGAGUAAUACAUCGGAACGUACCCAGUAGUGGGGGAUAGCUCGGCGAAAGCCGGAUUAAUACCGCAUACGACCUAUGGGUGAAAGCGGGGGAUCGCAAGACCUCGCGCUAUUGGAGCGGCCGAUGUCGGAUUAGCUAGUUGGUGAGGUAAAGGCUCACCAAGGCUACGAUCCGUAGCUGGUCUGAGAGGACGACCAGCCACACUGGGACUGAGACACGGCCCAGACUCCUACGGGAGGCAGCAGUGGGGAAUUUUGGACAAUGGGCGCAAGCCUGAUCCAGCCAUGCCGCGUGUGUGAAGAAGGCCU
Molecule: ribosomal RNA, 387 nt
Filed under: uncultured bacterium
Lineage: Bacteria
Description: bacterial SSU rRNA
Rfam family: Bacterial small subunit ribosomal RNA
Source: RNAcentral